GACUGUGACGGAGGAGGGGCCGGCCCAGCCCAGCCCGGCUCGGACGGGGACGGGCACGGCCGAGGGUCCGGGGCCACCGGGCGCUCGCCGGGAUGGGGGGACACGAGGACAAUUACUACGGCAAACACGGAACGCCGCAGAAAUACGACCCCACUUUCAAAGGUCCCAUCUAUGACAGGGGCUGCACCGACAUCGUCUGCUGUGUCCUGCUGGUCGUGGCCAUCGUGGGCUACGUGGUGGUCGGGGUCGUGG
Corapipo altera (White-ruffed manakin) is the source of this 252-nucleotide long non-coding RNA. RefSeq lists it as uncharacterized. NCBI's taxonomy places the organism in Eukaryota, Metazoa, Chordata, Aves, Passeriformes, Pipridae. The record is from RefSeq and is a predicted model, not a curated record. The transcript is spliced from 3 exons.